RNAcentral lists this ribosomal RNA (633 nucleotides) under Microbacteriaceae bacterium Se3Ps_2506. RNAcentral's name for it is "bacterial SSU rRNA". It matches the Rfam family "Bacterial small subunit ribosomal RNA", at positions 380 to 1022 of the family's 1533-position model. Lineage: Bacteria; Bacillati; Actinomycetota; Actinomycetes; Micrococcales; Microbacteriaceae. The record is from RNAcentral.
AGCCUGAUCCAGCAACGCCGCGUGAGGGACGACGGCCUUCGGGUUGUAAACCUCUUUUAGCGAGGAAGAAGCGAAAGUGACGGUACUCGCAGAAAAAGCGCCGGCUAACUACGUGCCAGCAGCCGCGGUAAUACGUAGGGCGCAAGCGUUAUCCGGAAUUAUUGGGCGUAAAGAGCUCGUAGGCGGUUUGUCACGUCUGCUGUGAAAACUGGAGGCUCAACCUCCAGCCUGCAGUGGGUACGGGCAGACUAGAGUGCGGUAGGGGAGAUUGGAAUUCCUGGUGUAGCGGUGGAAUGCGCAGAUAUCAGGAGGAACACCGAUGGCGAAGGCAGAUCUCUGGGCCGUAACUGACGCUGAGGAGCGAAAGGGUGGGGAGCAAACAGGCUUAGAUACCCUGGUAGUCCACCCCGUAAACGUUGGGAACUAGAUGUGGGGUCCAUUCCACGGAUUCCGUGUCGCAGCUAACGCAUUAAGUUCCCCGCCUGGGGAGUACGGCCGCAAGGCUAAAACUCAAAGGAAUUGACGGGGGCCCGCACAAGCGGCGGAGCAUGCGGAUUAAUUCGACGCAACGCGAAGAACCUUACCAAGGCUUGACAUAUACGAGAACGGGCGAGAAAUCGUCAACUCUUUGGA